CUAAUUGACAAAGGGGUGGGCCCCGCUCCUACUACAUCAUUAUUUAAUAGCUAAAUUGACAUAAAAUGUAACGGAGGUCUGAAAUUGCAACGAAUUAAUACAUUGAGGUAUGAUAUUGCAAUAUUUAAAACAUGAGGUAUGAGAUUGUGAUUUGACCUAUAGUAAAGGUAGUUUUAUGUAAUUUACCCAAUUAUUUUACUGUUUCUAUUUUGAUAAAUUAUAUUGAUAAAGUAAAAGAUUAUAACAAGAGUAAAUUGUAACAAUAGUCUCUCAAUUUUAAUUAAAUUAGAGUAAUGGUCCCUCAACUAAAAAUUCAUUACCAUUGGUUCCUUAACUCAUCAAAACGUAUAGUUAUAGUCCUUUUCGUAUACUCCGUUAGAAUUCUGUCACAAUGAGUUAUGUUGGAAUGAUCAUUGCUAAAAUUGGGUUAAAGUUGAGGAACCAUUUCUUUAGUUGAAUUAAAAUUGAGGGACCAUUGAUACAAUUUUUCUUUCUUGAUCUUUCAUAUUUGCCCCUUGAUUUAGCCUCACAUGAAUGACACGUUACUCAUUUUAACAAAAAUGUUCUAAUGGAGUUGAUGAAAAUGACCAUAGCUGCAUGUUUUGAUGAAUUAAGGGACUAAUGAUAAUGAAUUUUUAGUUAAGUGACCAUUGCUCUAAUUAAGUUAAAAUUGAAAAACAAUUGCUACAAUUUACUCUUGCACCUAGGAGGGUUAAAAAGUCAACUCAUAUCAUAGAGAAUUAGGCAAAGGGUUGCUAUACACGAGAACCUAGACUGCGAUGCUAAUGCAACCUACUCUUUUUCCCACUUAAGAGUAAUAUGGGAAACUCGAAUUUUACCGUUGUCUUUUUCUCUUUUCUUUUUUAAAUUUUAUUAUUAUUAAAUGGAUGGGGUAAAAUUGGAAACUAAUUAAAUAAUUAAAGGAAGACGAGAGUUUUGAACUGAAAUAAAAUUCUAACACUAAAAUAUUAAAUCACAUAUCCACUAAAAUAUUAAAUCACAUGUAAAUUUUACCUUUAUCUCUACUAUGGGAAAGUGGUGUGGACCAAAGAUGCUCCCACCUCUAUAUGGAAAGGAGCAUAUAGGAGAGCUUGUGUCUAAAAGUGUUUUUCUCUUUCAUUAUUGAAAUGAGAGCACUAGCGAGUAACGAGUGCUUUUAAGAUAUUGAAUUACUUUUUAUAUUAUCAAUUAGUUUUAAGGUAUAAUUUAAAUUUUUUCAUGGUAUCAGCAAGUUGACUCAUGUGUGAAAUCCAACAGCUACAUAUGCUUCAUGUCACUCAAUUAGUGUUUUCUAAGUGGUUGGCUUGAAAAUUCGUCAUACACGAGGGAGGAUGUGAGAAUGUGAAGGUAAAAAAGUUACACAUCAGUGGAAGGAGAAAUUUUGUAAGGACUUAUAAGAGGUUGAUUUGCAUCUCAUAUUACAAAUUAAUUUUAUGAUAAAAUCUCAACUUUCUUCAUUUAUUUCUUGAAAACAUGAUUAAUCAAGUAAUUAUUUAGCGAUCGAUGGGACACAAAUGGAGAACCAAUUCCGUAGAAAUGUAGUCCUUUCACAUUUGAGGAGAUGUCAAUUAUUGUUGCUGCAUGAUUUCAAAUGUCAAUUAUUGUUGCUGCAUGAUUUGAGAUGUUUCCACUCCCUUGCUUCCCUCAAUACUCCCUUAAGCAAGAGGCUGAGGAGUUUUUUUUUUUUUUUUUCAAACAAACGAUAUUGUUUAUAUUAAAGAAAAUAAAGUAGGUUUAAUCUCAUAAUAGGCUAACAAUAAUGUGGUUCAAAUUCGCCUUUGCGAUAAUCAAACAUAAGAUAUCUCACUUACAAGUAAAGAAAAAUAUCACUAGACCGUAGUACUAAUUGACUUGAGAAUUCAUUUUAUAACAACAAGAUAUUAUUAAGAAAAUGUAUUGUAAAAUUAUUUAACGAUUUCUUAUAAAAACACGUGAUAUGGCCCUAGCAUUAUUAAAAAUUUGAAAAUAAUUUUCACACACUUAUUUUAAUUUUUUUAUCCAAUGAUUAAAAUUCAAGAAAAACAUAAAUGCACGACAAACAUAAAGGUGUGGAAAUCAUUUUUUCGGUGAAAGCACUAUCAGAAAUAGUCAAAUACCCCAAAAUAUGUUCAAAUACUCCAAAAAUAAAGGAUAAAGUAUAACAACACUUCUUGCGAAAGGCGUUAAUCGGAAUAAAGUAUGGUCUUUCAAAUGGGCAUCCAACUUUAAAAAAGUGUGAUAAUUGUAGGGGCAUAGUGUAAAGUGAAUAGAGUAUUGCUAUGACUAAUAGUUUACUAAUCAUGCGGAUUCGGAUCCUCUACUCGGUUUUAUUGUAUUUGUUGUUUGUUAAUUAUCACUGCACAUCACAAUUCAAAAGUGCUUGAGCAGAAGAGUGGUGGAUUUUUCAUUUUUAGUAUGUGGAAACAAAAAAAAUUUGGAACACAUAAAUUGCAACAUGUGAAAUACAUUUGAAAUAAAAAAAUAAAACAUAAAAACCUCAAGCGUACGAAGAGGAGUUUUAUUGAAUUCCUAACCAUUUUUUUCAUCUUGUUUUAAAGAGUCGUAAUUUCAAUUUUUUUUUAAAAAUUAAGAUGGUUUAAUCAAUUGUCAAUUCAGCAUUUUUGUAUUUAUUUAAUAUACAUCCACAUAAGCAAGCUACGACCAUCUCCAAAGGAGAUGUCAAAUUUUGAACAUAAAAUUUAAAUUUGACAGCCUACAUGGCACUUUGACAUAUUAACGUUUCACUCUCCACUCGAUAUGUCAAAUUAAAUUAUUAUUUUAUUACAUUAUUUUGUAUUCUUAAUUUUUGUUCUAUAUUUUAAAUUUUACACAUAUAAAUCAUUCAUGAUAAGUGAAACCCAACAAAUAACUUUUUUUUGGUUGAACACUAAUAAGGACAUGAUCCUCAUCUUUGUUGAACGAAUAACUUUUUUCUUGCUUCCAAACGCUGAAUUAAAGGAUGAGGCGAAAAAAAUUCGAGGCAUGUUCACUGUAUGAAGUUCUUUGUUGAACCCAGCACCACGAAUAACUUUUUUCUUGCUUCCAGACAACACACAAACUAUCAAGGACACACUUGAUAAGCUAUGACACUCACUUUCUAGAAAGACAAACUCUAGACCACUCUUGCUUCUCACUCUCUUACUUAGCUCUCUUCUUGGCUACUUUCUUCUUUGAUUGAUUGAUACAAAUGGUGUGGAUGACUUCUCCUUUUAUAGGCAUGGAUGGAACCUUGGAGAAGCAUGGAAACAUCAUGCUAGAGAUAUCUAGAUAAUUCCACUACCUUCCUAAGCUAGAAUUAUCUACACUAAUCUUGUAUGUUGGUGGAAUCCUCACCAUUCUUCUAAACUCUUCCACCAACUUGAACUUUGCUAGAAUUCUCCAACAUGUGUAUAGAUCUUUCUUUGUCUAUAGGCUGGAUCCAUCUUGGGCCAAGGCAAGAUUACACUUCAACACAAACUCUAAUUGGGCUGGUGUUGAUAUUUAAUACUCCCCCUCAACACCAACUCAUUCUUUCCUCCAUGCCGAGUUGACAAUGAAGCUUUUUCUUGCACACCCAUUUGCAUGAUAUGGGUUUCACAUCUCUUUGUUUUGGCACUAGAUUCCAAGCUUGAUUUAGCUCCACUGCAGUAACCUCUUUUCCCAAUUUUGAGCCACUCAUGUUCAUCUGCUUCUUCUUUAAUGGCUGCAUUGGUGUAUUUAGGAUUUUGUUUUCGGAUUCUUGUUGACCUCCUUAGUUGUGAUUGUGGAGUUGGUACUUCCACUUCACUAGGUCUAUCUUCUUCUGGUUGUUGAUAUACGCCAGCUUGCCAAGGGUUUUAGGGCACAACUAGCUCAACACCAUUACCAUCAAGUGAAUCCUCAUACUCAUCUAGUCUUGAUUGGAUUCGAACAGUUUGCUCCCUCAUCUUCUGUUGCAGCUUAUCAUCAACAUCUCUCGAAUCAGGCAAUGCCUCUUUUUUUCUGAAGACCACCAAGAAGAUGGUUCAUCAAACACCAUAUCUUGUGAUGUGUAACACCUUACAGUCGUAGUAUCACAACAUUUCCACCCUUUUCUUUGGCUGCAGUAUCCCACAAAGAUACAUCGGACUGCCUUCCUGUCAAACUUGCUACAUAGAUGGCUUGGAACAAAUGCGUAACAUACAUAGCCAAAUACUCGAAAGUAACCAACUGUAGGUUUCAUAUCCCAUAGUUUUUCAAAGGGUGAGACAAAUUCUAACCUUGGUUGAGAAAGCCUGUUGAUCACAUGAGCUGCAGUUCUCAUAGUUUCUGCCCAAAACUUUCCUGGUACAUUCUUGGCAUGGAGCAUACUUCGACAUAUUUAUGCAAGAUGCCGGUUCUUUCUUUUCGCUAUGUCAUUCUGUUAUGGCAUGUUGACACAUGUGAAUUGGUGACGUAUUCUAUAAUCUCUUAAAUACUGGGAAAACUCAUUUGAGGUAUAUUCUCCUCCAUUAUCCGUGCGUAUGCAACAGAUCUUCUUUCCCACUUAACUUCAAUUGUCUCCUUAAACUCUUUAAAUUUUGAAAAUGUUUUAGAUUUUUCUUUCAUAAAGAAAACCCACACAUACCUGGAGAAAUCAUCAAUGAACGUCACCAUGUACCGCAUCCCACUUAUCAAUGGUUGUUUGACAAGCCCGAACACAUCGGAAUGAACCAACUCCAAAGGUUUUUUCGCUUUAAACUUUGACUUUUAGUGUAGUAGCUGAUGUCCUUUACCAUAUUGGCAUCCUACACAAACCGUGUCUGUUCUCACGUCAAGCUGAGGUAGUCCAUUAAGCAUUGACUUCUUCAUCAUCACAUUUAGCUUAUGAUAGCUAACGUGACCCAAUCUCAUGUGCCAUAAAUCUGCUAUCUCGUUCUUCCUUGUCUUGUCUACGUAUGCAGUUUCUGUUCACAUUACAUAGACUGAUUGCAAUCGCUGUCUCUCCAUUGUUGGCGUCCCUAAGAACUUGAGGUGUUGAUACACCUUCACAUCUCGUGGACCAAACAAGACAUAAUUUCCUAAUGACGUUAGUUGCGGCACUAAAAACAUAUUUUUCUUCAUACCUGGAACAUGGUAAACAUCUUGAAACGGCACAUGGUUAAUUUUAUAUCGGGGCUCAAUUACUGUCUUACCGAUGUGAGCAAUCGGUAGCCUCGAGUUGUUGGCCGUCACCACCAAGCGGCCUCCUUUGCACUCAGUUAGACUUUGUAACGUUUUCUCAUCACUUGUCAUAUGGUUUGAGUAGCCUGAAACCACGAUCUAAUCAUUUUAGUAGUUAAUCGACUCUAGACUUACUGUUGUGAGAGCUGACUCUUGCUUCUCCAUAGCAGCGGAUGCUUCAACAUCUCAUUCUUCCUCCAAGGUUAGAGAUGCUACGGCAUCCCAGACAUCUUCACUUUUCUUCUCUGAAUUAGCGAUGUUACUUUCUGCAGACUUUUUGAACCAUCAAUCUUUUGCCAUAUGACCUUUCUUUCCACAAUUGUAACACUUACCCUCAAACCUUUUAUUGUUCUAGGACUGACCACGGUUGCCUUGAUACUUCAGAGCUCCCCCUGGCUGAGAAUUCCCUCAUUCUUGAUGACCAUUUUCCUUGUCACCAUUUCUUUUAGAUCCACCAUCAGUAUGCUGCUUAAAGCUACCUUUACUUUUGGUGUAGAGUCCUUCCUCCUCACCUCUUAACGAGACCCCUCCCAUUUGGUUUGCCAAAGCUUUAUGAUCGACAAGCAAAUUCGUAAACUCAACAAGUGAUGGUUGGGUCGGCCAUUGUUGUACAGCGGCAACGAAGCCUUGAUAUUCGGGUCUCAAUCCAUGGAUAAUUAUUCUUUUUAUCCUGGAUUCUACAAUGGUAGCAUUAGGAUCUAAUUUAGAAAUUUCACAGCAAAUAGACUUUACCUUGUGGAAAUAUUUUGCAAUCAUCAUGUCUCGUUGGGCCACCCAUAGCAACUCGUUCUCGAGAAGCUGGAGUCUUGUAUCGUUCCUCUUUGAAAAUAUUGUGGCGAAGGUGUCCCACACUUCUUUUGGUGUCUUGGCCUUCCGUAUGUGCUCCAACAUGUCAUCUUCAAUUGUGGGUUUUAAGGCAAACAUGGCCUUACCUGCCUUGAUCUUCGACUUCCUUAAAAUGCCGCUGAUGUUUUCUUCCGGCUGCAUAACUUCAUUACCGCCGACGACAUCCUAAAGGUCUUGGCCUUAUAGGUAAGACUCUAUGCACUCGCCCAUGUGUUAUAAUUUUUGUUGUUCAACUUCUUAAUUCCUCCAACAACUUGAAGAUCUCCCAUCGUGUCAGUAGAACUUCAAUAAGCUGAACAAGAUUAACGAAUAAUCUUGCGAAGUACUAAACUUCUCACGAUUCUAAAAAACUUCACUAGAGACGAUCUCCGAUCGUACCGUUCUGAUACUAAUUGUUGGGGAAAAACUUAAAGUACACAACUCUAACACAAGUAUUGGAGAGACAACACAAGUAAACAAAUUAUUUGUAUUACACUCACAAAAGAUUACAACACACAAACUAUCAAGGAUAAACUUGAGAAGCUAUGACACUCACUUUCUAGAGACAAACUCUAGACCACUCACACUCCUACAAGACUACUCUUACUUCUCACUCUCUUACUUAGCUCUCUUCUUAGCUACUUUCUUCUUUGAUUGAUUGAUACAAAUGGUGUGGAUGCCUUCUUCUUUUGUAGGCAUGGAUGGAACCUUGGAGAAACAUGGAAACAUCAUGCUAAAGAUAUCUAGAUGAUUCCACUACCUUCCUAAGCUAGAAUUAUCUACACUAAUCUUGUAUGUUGGUGGAAUCCUCACCAUUCUUCUAAACUCUUCCACCAACUUGAACUUUGCUAGAAUUCUCUAGCAUGUGUAUGAAUCUUUCUUUGUCCGUAGGCUGGAUCCAUCUUAGGCCAAGGCAAGAUUACACUUCAACAUAAACACCAAUUGGGCUGGUGUUGAUCUUCAACAUGUUUCUCAUCCAUUAUGUACACACAUAUCCCAUAAACAUUCACCAAUUUUCUUUACCAAUUAAUUAAUCUUUUUUCAUAUCCUCUGUUUUGCCUCCCCAGAGCUUCGGGAGCUAAUCCCAAGAGGCCUUCAUUCUCUAAUCUUUAUCGUAACUCUAUCAUUGAUUAAAAACAGAAAGAAAGAGGCAGGAUAUGAACUGACUACACGUUCAACAAUCAACAUUUAUUAUAAUAAAUGAUUAAACUAAUUAAAAAAUAUUUAAUAAUUAAUUAAAAAAUAUUUGAAGCUGCUGUCAAAUUUGAUAGAAGCCCCCUUCGCUGCCAUUCCAUGUCAUGCCACAUAGAAUUUGACACUUUGGUUGGAAACAAUUAGUGGCUGUCUUUUUUUACUGUUAUAACUUAUGUGGACAUUUUGACAUCUACUUUGGAGAUGCUCUAAUAACUAUUUCCUACAGUCUAAGGAUUUUAAAUUUGUGACUUUAUUAAUUAAAAAUAUUAAUUUAACUAAUUCCUUAUUGUCAUUGCAAGUGGCAUUUUACUACAGUAGUAGAAAUGUGUUGAGUCCUUGCAUGGCGGCGUGGGUUCAAACUUUGUCGGUGACUAGUCUAACAUAUAAUUUAUUAAAAUUUAAUAAUCUAUUGUUUGACCAAAAAAAAAAUCUUUAUUGUCAUUAAAAAAAGAGAGAAUUUUUUAUUUCUAUUAUUAUAUUUAAUUAGUCUCUUGCUACAUUAAAAAAAAGAAGUUAUUAAUACUUUCAUAAGAAAGCUUCAUUAAUUUGGUAAAAUUUUACAUAUAGUUAUAUAAAUGUAUUUAAAACUUAUGGUACAUUUGAAAAUAAACGUACCGACUUUUAGUACGUUUAGAUUUUAAAUGUACUAAUAAAUAAAUGUACCAUAAAACCAAAAUUGCUCAUAUUAUAGGUAAUCAAAUGAACUAAUACAAUCAAACGAUCAUACAAUCAAACGUACCUUUACUAUGAUUAUGUAUGUGAUAAUGAGUUUUGAACAUUCUAUUUAAUUCACUAAACUAAAUAGUAUAAUAAACAAUAAAAAAAAUCUAAAAUCUCCAGAAUGAGAGAUGCAUAUAACUACAACAAAUUCAUAGGUAAGGAAUGAUAGGGAAAAAAGGAAAACGAAAGUAGAGAUGUAAUGUGAAAUUUUUUAGGGUGGCUAGCAAACAAUUUCAUGAAAAUUACCCAAAAGGUUCAAAAAAAAAAAAAAAAAAAGGAACUUCUAAAAUUGAACUUUUAAUAAAAUGAAAUUAAUCACCAAAACUGUAGAAAAAAUGUUUAAUCAAAUUCUUAAAAAUAAUAGAUGUUUAAGCAAUGAAAUUGAAAAACUAAGCGUUUAUAUCAAUACGCUCCUAAAAUAUGUAAAAUAAUCAUGGGAACACAAACCAUACCCCUAAGAAUAAAGAGGCAACACGUGAAAUGCAUGGCUUUUCAUUUUUAGUAUAAAUACUUGAUGGUGUUCUUGGAUGAGAUUGUCCAUCUUUUACAUCUCUUUGUUUUUCGAGCUUAAUUAUGGCAGAGUUUGAAAGUGUCAAAUCUUGACGAUUUUGAUUUUUGACGUUUAUUUGUCCAGCAAUAUUGCGCACGAAUCUCUGCUUCUGCACAGCUACAAGAGAAGCUUCAAUGGCAUUGCUGCCAGGCUAACAGAGGAAGAAGCACAGAAGUUGGCUGGUUGUCUUAUGAACCCAACUUUAAUUUAUUUUUCAACUUGCAUAAACAUUAAUAGUGACCAUUGUAUGA
Molecule: long non-coding RNA, 8658 nt
Filed under: Malus domestica (apple)
Lineage: Eukaryota; Viridiplantae; Streptophyta; Magnoliopsida; Rosales; Rosaceae
Description: long non-coding RNA (MDOM_LNC007058)
Source: RNAcentral